Molecule: small nucleolar RNA, 129 nt
Organism: Nannospalax galili (Upper Galilee mountains blind mole rat)
Lineage: Eukaryota; Metazoa; Chordata; Mammalia; Rodentia; Spalacidae
Source: Ensembl
CACUCCACUGCACCUGACCAGUUCUUGUUGGCUGGUGCAAUCCAGUGGUGAGCUGAAAGUACGCCCCAGUUUUUAAGAAACAGGGAUUUUACAUGUGGAUGACUUUGUGCUGAAAGUGUGGGAACAGCC